ACUCACCAUCCAUAAUAAAGACCUGAUUGACUUAAUCCCAUGAUUAUGUUAAUCAAGGAUAUACUUAAUAGUCAUACUGUCACCUCUACCAUAUCACAUAUGUGAAUUUUUUUUCUUUAUAGUAUCAUCUCCAAUCGAAUCAAAAUUAGGAGAAUGGGAGACUAUCUCUAAAGUGAGAACUAUUCUCAAGUUUCUCAAUUAGUCUAUGAAGUUCGAUUAAUUUUUAAAAGACAUCAAAUAUACCAUGC
This 248-nucleotide long non-coding RNA is filed under the name Elaeis guineensis (African oil palm). RNAcentral's name for it is "long non-coding RNA (EGUI_LNC067571)". The record is from RNAcentral. Lineage: Eukaryota; Viridiplantae; Streptophyta; Magnoliopsida; Arecales; Arecaceae.